Molecule: small RNA, 584 nt
Filed under: Pan troglodytes (chimpanzee)
Lineage: Eukaryota; Metazoa; Chordata; Mammalia; Primates; Hominidae
Description: retained intron
Source: RNAcentral
GUGCUCAACACCAACAGCCGGUACCUGCAUGACAACAUCGUGGACUAUGCGCAGAGGCUGUCAGAGACCCUGCCGGAGCAGCUCUGUGUGUUCUAUUUCCUGAAUUCUGGGUCAGAAGCCAAUGACCUGGCCCUGAGGCUGGCUCGCCACUACACGGGACACCAGGACGUGGUGGUAUUAGAUCAUGCGUAUCACGGCCACCUGAGCUCCCUGAUUGACAUCAGUCCCUACAAGUUCCGCAACCUGGAUGGCCAGAAGGAGUGGGUCCACGUGGUAUGCACUGCCCAACUCAACAACAGGUCGGUGCCUGUCCCCAAGCCCGGAUAACAUGGCGCUGUCACUCCCCACAGGCACCUCUCCCAGACACCUACCGGGGCCCCUACCGGGAGGACCACCCCAACCCAGCUAUGGCCUAUGCCAACGAGGUGAAACGUGUGGUCAGCAGUGCACAGGAGAAGGGCAGGAAGGUAACCAUGUCCGCGCCUGUCCAAUCCAGCCAACAGUGAAUGUCACCUCCAUUGUCACCACCACUGUGCUAGAUGCUGGGAACCCAGAGAGAAAACCAAACGAGGCCCCACCCUCCA